AACAGGGAUUGCCCCAGUAACGGCGAGUGAAGCGGCAACAGCUCAAAUUUGAAAUCUGGCCCCUAGGGCCCGAGUUGUAAUUUGUAGAGGAUGCUUUUGGCGAGGCGCCUUCCGAGUUCCCUGGAACGGGACGCCACAGAGGGUGAGAGCCCCGUCUGGUCGGAUGCCAAGCCUAUGUAAAGCUCCUUCGACGAGUCGAGUAGUUUGGGAAUGCUGCUCAAAAUGGGAGGUAUAUGUCUUCUAAAGCUAAAUAUAGGCCAGAGACCGAUAGCGCACAAGUAGAGUGAUCGAAAGAUGAAAAGCACUUUGAAAAGAGGGUUAAAAAGUACGUGAAAUUGUUGAAAGGGAAGCGCCUAUGACCAGACUUGGGCCCGGUGAAUCAUCCAGCGUUCUCGCUGGUGCACUUUGCCGGGCACAGGCCAGCAUCAGUUUGGCGCGGGGGAUAAAGGUUUCGGGAACGUGGCUCCCUCGGGAGUGUUAUAGCCCGUUGCGUAAUACCCUGCGCCGGACUGAGGUACGCGCAUUGCAAGGAUGCUGGCGUAAUGGUCAUCAGCGACCCGUCUUGAAACACGGACCAAGGAGUCGUCUUCGUAUGCGAGUGUUCGGGUGUAAAACCCCUACGCGUAAUGAAAGUGAACGCAGGUGAGAGCUUCGGCGCAUCAUCGACCGAUCCUGAUGUUCUCGGAUGGAUUUGAGUAAGAGCAUACGGGGCCGGACCCGAAAGAAGGUGAACUAUGCCUGUAUAGGGUGAAGCCAGAGGAAACUCUGGUGGAGGCUCGCAGCGGUUCUGACGUGCGAAUCGAUCGUCAAAUAUGGGCAUGGGGGCGAAAGACUAAUCG
RNAcentral lists this ribosomal RNA (839 nucleotides) under Gamszarea lunata. Its description in RNAcentral is "partial large subunit ribosomal RNA". It matches the Rfam family "Eukaryotic large subunit ribosomal RNA", at positions 67 to 937 of the family's 3401-position model. Lineage: Eukaryota; Fungi; Ascomycota; Sordariomycetes; Hypocreales; Cordycipitaceae. The record is from RNAcentral.